RNAcentral lists this transfer RNA (71 nucleotides) under Loxodonta africana (African savanna elephant). It matches the Rfam family "tRNA". Rfam says of the family: Transfer RNA (tRNA) molecules are approximately 80 nucleotides in length. Their secondary structure includes four short double-helical elements and three loops (D, anti-codon, and T loops). The record is from Rfam by way of RNAcentral. Lineage: Eukaryota; Metazoa; Chordata; Mammalia; Proboscidea; Elephantidae.
GCAGUGGUGGUUCAGUGGUAGAAUUCUAGCCUUUCAUGCAGGAGUCCUGGGUUCAACUCCCAGCCAACGCA